Molecule: small RNA, 127 nt
Filed under: Marmota monax (woodchuck)
Lineage: Eukaryota; Metazoa; Chordata; Mammalia; Rodentia; Sciuridae
Source: RNAcentral
GCUGGGCAUGGUGGCACACGUCUGUAAUCCCAGCAACUCUGGAGGCUGAGGCAGGAGGAUUGUGAGUUCAAACCCAGCUUCAGCAACUUAGCGAGUCCCUAAGCAACUCAGCGAGACCCUGUCUCUA